CUUCGGGUAAUGAGGAUGGCGGACGGGUGAGUAACGCGUAAGGAACUUGCCUCUUGGACUGGGACAACUGUUGGAAACGACAGCUAAUACCGGAUAUUAUGAGAUUCUCGCAUGAGAAACUUAUGAAAGCUAUAUGCGCCAAGAGAGAGCCUUGCGUUCCAUUAGCUAGUUGGUGGGGUAACGGCCCACCAAGGCGACGAUGGAUAGCCGGCCUGAGAGGGUGAACGGCCACAAGGGGACUGAGACACGGCCCUUACUCCUACGGGAGGCAGCAGUGGGGAAUAUUGGACAAUGGGCCACAAGCCUGAUCCAGCAAUUCUGUGUGCACGAUGAAGGUCUUCGGAUUGUAAAGUGCUUUCAGUUGGGAAGAAGAAAGUGACGGUACCAACAGAAGAAGCGACGGCUAAAUACGUGCCAGCAGCCGCGGUAAUACGUAUGUCGCAAGCGUUAUCCGGAUUUAUUGGGCGUAAAGCGCGUCUAGGCGGAAAAAUAAGUCUGAUGUUAAAAUGCGGGGCUCAACUCCGUAUUGCGUUGGAAACUGUUUUUCUAGAGUACUGGAGAGGUGGGCGGA
RNAcentral lists this ribosomal RNA (571 nucleotides) under uncultured bacterium. Its description in RNAcentral is "bacterial SSU rRNA". It matches the Rfam family "Bacterial small subunit ribosomal RNA", at positions 78 to 665 of the family's 1533-position model. The record is from RNAcentral.